This 119-nucleotide ribosomal RNA is filed under the name Triticum aestivum (bread wheat). The record is from RNAcentral. Lineage: Eukaryota; Viridiplantae; Streptophyta; Magnoliopsida; Poales; Poaceae.
GGAUGCGAUCAUACCAGCACUAAAGCAUCGGAUCCCAUCAGAACCCCGAAGUUAAGCGUGCUUGGGCGAGGGUAGUACUAGGAUGGGUGACCUCCUGGGAAGUCCUCGUGUUGCAUUCC